RNAcentral lists this long non-coding RNA (939 nucleotides) under Lactuca sativa (garden lettuce). Its description in RNAcentral is "long non-coding RNA (LSAT_LNC009975)". The record is from RNAcentral. Lineage: Eukaryota; Viridiplantae; Streptophyta; Magnoliopsida; Asterales; Asteraceae.
UACAAGUCAUUAAGUAACGGGUUGGAAUUCCAGUUUGAAGCCCCUUGGAAUAUUUUGAAAUAUAUCCCGUUUGUUUAAAAUCUAUUUUAGUUUAUUAUUUGAGUACUAGGUUAUUUUCAUGUACUAGGUUAUUUUCAUGUAUUUCUUAUGUAUUUCGUAUGUAUUUCGUUUGUUUAAAAUCUAUUUUAGUUUAUUAUGUGAGUACUAGGUUAUUUUCAUGUAUUUCGUAUGUAAUUCGUAUGUAUUUCAUAUGUUUAAAAUAUAUUUUAGUUUAGUAUGUGAGAAACUCGUAUGAUUAAGUUGAGUUAAUAUAUUUUAGUUUAUUAUGUGAGUACUAGGUUAUUUUCAUGUAUUUCGUAUGUAAUUCGUAUGUGUUUCAUAUGUUUAAAAUAUAUUUUAGUUUAGUAUGUGAGAAACUCGUAUGAUUAAGUUGAGUUAAUAUAUUUUAGUUUAUUAUGUGAGAAACUCGUAUGAUUAACUUGAGUUAAUAAAUGGCCAUUGCAUUAGUUAUCAAAAUAUAUUAGAAUACAUUAGUAACAAGAUUCCAUGAACCAUUAAAACAUCACAACAAUUACAUGAAAAACAACGACAUAAUACGAACAAAGCAUUAACGUAAAACACAAGUCCAUGGCUUAUUCUUAACACAAAUUAGAGCGGUCUACUUGAAAUACUGUUUAUCUCUAACAACCUUCCAAACUUCCUCAUAUUCGAAGUCUCUGCCUUCAUGCUCAAAGAUGUAAAACUCUGUAACAACUUCCAAGAACUCUUCUUCGUCACGACAACGAACAUUGUUACGUUUCGCAUAACUACAUGCUCGAUUGAACCAUGUCACUUCCUCCUUUACAUCCGUCCACUUAGUAACAACAUCUGAUUUUUCUCUUUUUUGCCCUUCUCCCAUCUCAUGGUUAAACAAAGAUGUGAUGCGACUCCAUUCAUCAC